AGAGAAGUGGAUGCUGGCAACUGGCCUGUCCUGCUGUCAUUUGGACAGAUAGUGAGUUUGGAUUUUCCAUCAUCUUGGAGGAUAUAGCCACGUGGGCAUGAACAUUGAUAGCUUCCUUCAGUAUUCUUGCAAAUAAAAUUGCAUGGUUUGGGAGACUGGGAGCAUUCAUCAAGAUCUAAUUACAGGAAUAAUUCAUAUUCAAGUUUAAUUAAUUCCACAGUAUUGGAUUCAAAAUAAAACUGGGGGACAAUGCCUAA
Pantherophis guttatus is the source of this 257-nucleotide non-coding RNA. NCBI's taxonomy places the organism in Eukaryota, Metazoa, Chordata, Lepidosauria, Squamata, Colubridae. The record is from RefSeq and is a predicted model, not a curated record.